UAUUUCUAUGUCUGUCUCCGUUUCAGGACAUUAACAUUGUGUCAAAACAGGUAUAUGUGGGCAAACAAGUUACAGGACCAAAACAUAAAAAAUGACUCCCCAAAAGAUGCAGCCGCUCCAGCAGCCUGGGCCCAGCUGGGUCAAAGGCUUCUUGGCUAAGCUUAGGGGAUACAUCUGCCCCUGGAAGUAUAGCCAGAACCACCAAACUACCGAGCCACCCAUCCACAGACUCCCAGCUUCCUCAGUGCUUAGAAUGCAGCCAUAUUGCCAUUGGUUAGUUGUGGAUUUUCCACAUUCACUCGGCAAUUCAUUAUUUCUAUCCAAAUGUUGUCUGCAUUCUAUUGGUUGGAUAUUGUUAUCAAUACUUUAUAUGUAGACCUACAUUUAGGACAUAUCUAUCACUGUACCUAAUAUAUUACCUAUACUAUAACUGCAUGUCCUCCUCCUGGGAUGUAAGAAGAAAUGUAUACUUAUCAUUCACUAUUGAA
This 488-nucleotide long non-coding RNA is filed under the name Gadus morhua (Atlantic cod). RNAcentral's name for it is "lncRNA (ENSGMOG00000034118.1)". Lineage: Eukaryota; Metazoa; Chordata; Actinopteri; Gadiformes; Gadidae. The record is from RNAcentral.